Molecule: small nuclear RNA, 107 nt
Filed under: Octodon degus (degu)
Lineage: Eukaryota; Metazoa; Chordata; Mammalia; Rodentia; Octodontidae
Source: RNAcentral
AUGCUCGCUUCCACAGCACAUAUACUAAAAUUGGAACCAUACAGAGAAGAUUAGCAUGGCCUCUGCGCGAGGAUGACAUGCAAAUUCGUGAAGCGUUCCAUAUUUUU